UGGGGAAUUUUGGACAAUGGGCGCAAGCCUGAUCCAGCAAUGCCGCGUGCAGGAAGAAGGCCUUCGGGUUGUAAACUGCUUUUGUCAGGGAAGAAAUCCUCUGGGUUAAUACCUCGGGGGGAUGACGGUACCUGAAGAAUAAGCACCGGCUAACUACGUGCCAGCAGCCGCGGUAAUACGUAGGGUGCGAGCGUUAAUCGGAAUUACUGGGCGUAAAGCGUGCGCAGGCGGUUGUGCAAGACAGGUGUGAAAUCCCCGGGGCUUAACCUGGGAACUGCACUUGUGACUGCACGGCUAGAGUACGGUAGAGGGGGGAUGGAAUUCCGCGUGUAGCAGUGAAAUGCGUAGAUAUGCGGAGGAACACCGAUGGCGAAGGCAAUCCCCUGGACCUGUACUGACGCUCAUGCACGAAAGCGUGGGGAGCAAACAGGAUUAGAUACCCUGGUAGUCCACGCCCUAAACGAUGUCAACUGGUUGUUGGACGGCUUGCUGUUCAGUAACGAAGCUAACGCGUGAAGUUGACCGCCUGGGGAGUACGGCCGCAA
RNAcentral lists this ribosomal RNA (545 nucleotides) under uncultured bacterium. Its description in RNAcentral is "partial 16S ribosomal RNA". It matches the Rfam family "Bacterial small subunit ribosomal RNA", at positions 355 to 891 of the family's 1533-position model. The record is from RNAcentral.